RNAcentral lists this long non-coding RNA (1987 nucleotides) under Homo sapiens (human). RNAcentral's name for it is "non-protein coding lnc-RTL1-5:4". Lineage: Eukaryota; Metazoa; Chordata; Mammalia; Primates; Hominidae. The record is from RNAcentral.
CCCCGGGUUGCAUUGGAGCAGUGGAUUGAGCUCUUCAACUCUCAGCACUUCAACACUCCGCUUGUCCCCUAAGGGUUUUCUGAAGGUCACUGAUGCUGGCAGGAAGUGUGGAAAAAGGAUGUUUAUACCUGGGGCCGGGAGAUGGCCUCUCUCAGGCUGGGAGAGACUGGCAGAGCUGCCUGAUAAUGAGAACAAUGCCAUCCACACCAUUGUGAGCACACGGUAAGCCUCAGGCAUGUGGUACACCUGAGAGGCGCUUCUGUGUCUCCUGGAUUGUUUAUGACAAUCAUGACAAGCAGCCACUGCCUUCCCAUUUCACAGCCAAAGGAAGCAUGGUGUGGGCAGAUGCAGUUGCAGUUUGUCUCCAAGGAAGGAAAGUGGCUGAGUUGUAAGUGGCUGAGUUGCAGGCUGGACUUCGGUCCAUAUUAUUAUGGGUUGAACUGUGUUCCUCCCCCCAGAUUUAUGUUAUGGUCCUACCUCCCAGGACCUUGGAGUGUCACUUUACUUAGAAGUAAUGUAGUUGCAGAGGUAAUUAGUUACGAUGAAGUCAUGCUGGAAUGGGGUAGGCCCUCGUCCAAUAGGACAGGUCCUUAUCAAAAGGGGAAAUUUGGAGACAGACCCGCACUCAGGGUGGAUGCCACCUGAGGAUGGAGGCAGAGGUCAGCGUGGUGCUUCUACAAGCCAAGGAAGGCCAAGGAUGACCAGUGAGUUAGGAGAAGCCGGGAGAGGCCAGGGACAGAUCCUCCCUCACAGUCUUAGAAAGAAGCAGUCCUGCUGACACUGCAGUCUGGAUCUUGCAGCCUCCGGAACUGUGAGCGAGUACACUUCGGCUGUGUAAGGCACACGGUCUGUGGUGCUUUGUGAAUUACGGCAUCCCUGGGAGACUGACACAGACAUCAAACCAAACCUGUCCCCUUUCCACUGUAUUUCCUUGAGCUUUAACGGAGCAACGAGAAGACUUUGAAGGCCCCCUUGAGUCCUCUACAGGGUGAGGACGGAAAGGAAGCAGGCCUGGGCUCCAGGGUCCCAGGGCUCUGGGAGAGGACUCUUGGUGCCUGCUGGUGGCUGUUCCCUCCUCCUCUCUGUCAAGCCACUUUUCCCGUUUCUGCACUCGCUCUUGGGCUGAGACUCCUCAAGAGGGAACUCCCUUGGUGCCGCCAUCUGCGGCCGUGGGAGGGAUCAGAGUGGCCCAGCGGCCAUGCAGAGGGUGCGCAGUGCUGAAGAAGUCAUGGAGCAAACUGAUCUCUUACUAGAACGAAGUCAACAAGAGCUACCCUUGGACUCUGGAUGCCUGGGAGGGUCUGGAGCCGUCGGGCAGAAGGAGAAGGUGGAGCGGGUCUUCCCGGAGGCCGGCUCCCACGGGGGCGGCCAAGGCUCUGGGCCUCUCGGCAUGCCUCUGCGGAUCCUGUUGGAUCCAGAACCGUCUGGAUCACCUGAAGAGUUAUUUGAUACCAGCUGAUUUUCUAAGGGGACAGCCGGGUGGGGAUAUCAUAGGCAGGCACACUGGCUUCAGAAUUAGAGGCCAAAAGUGUGGACUCUCUCAGCCACUAACUCAGUUCUGCUCUCUGGCAAAACCCUUCGCAGCUCGGGCUGCCCUGUCUGUGAGUGGAGGUGGGCAGCUCCCGUCUCAGAGUCCUGGUGGGGGUGAGGUGGAAGGCCCCAGGGGCGGCACCCUCCAGUGAACUCCGUAGCUUCCUCCCCUUCAUCUCCCACGUUGUUUACAGUGUAGCUAGGGGUCAGGACACUGUCCCUAUUUCAUAUGCUUUGUUUGGCAUUUUCGGUAUUUAAGCCUCUGUCAAUUCAAUCAGACUUCGCUACAGAAAGGGCAAGAUACCAGGAAAUGCAGACAGUGCCUAAGCAUCGUUCCUCAUCUCGAACAGUGGUUCUAAGUUGACUCUGUGGUGUAUUUCUAGUGGCAAUACUAGAUAUUUUCCUUUAUAGCAAAAAUGAGAAUCUUUAUUAAAACAACUAUGUAUUAUUAUUUAAC